AUACGUAGGGUGCAAGCGUUAAUCGGAAUUACUGGGCGUAAAGCGUGCGCAGGCGGUUUUGUAAGACAGUGGUGAAAUCCCCGGGCUCAACCUGGGAACUGCCAUUGUGACUGCAGGGCUGGAGUGCGGCAGAGGGGGAUGGAAUUCCGCGUGUAGCAGUGAAAUGCGUAGAUAUGCGGAGGAACACCGAUGGCGAAGGCAAUCCCCUGGGCCUGCACUGACGCUCAUGCACGAAAGCGUGGGGAGCAAACAGGAUUAGAUACCCUGGUAGUCCACGCCCCAAACGAUGUCAACUGGUUGUUGGGGAUUUAUUUUCUCAGUAACGAAGCUAACGCGUGAAGUUGACCGCCUGGGGAGUACGGCCGCAAGGUUAAAACUCAAAGGAAUUGACGGGG
RNAcentral lists this ribosomal RNA (395 nucleotides) under uncultured bacterium. RNAcentral describes it as "partial 16S ribosomal RNA". It matches the Rfam family "Bacterial small subunit ribosomal RNA", at positions 523 to 918 of the family's 1533-position model. The record is from RNAcentral.